UAGGGAAUCUUCGGCAAUGGACGAAAGUCUGACCGAGCAACGCCGCGUGAGUGAAGAAGGUUUUCGGAUCGUAAAACUCUGUUGUUAGAGAAGAACAAGGACGUUAGAAACUGAACGUCCCCUGACGGUAUCUAACCAGAAAGCCACGGCUAACUACGUGCCAGCAGCCGCGGUAAUACGUAGGUGGCAAGCGUUGUCCGGAUUUAUUGGGCGUAAAGCGAGCGCAGGCGGUUUCUUAAGUCUGAUGUGAAAGCCCCCGGCUCAACCGGGGAGGGUCAUUGGAAACUGGGAGACUUGAGUGCAGAAGAGGAGAGUGGAAUUCCAUGUGUAGCGGUGAAAUGCGUAGAUAUAUGGAGGAACACCAGUGGCGAAGGCGGCUCUCUGGUCUGUAACUGACGCUGAGGCUCGAAAGCGUGGGGAGCAAACAGG
This 429-nucleotide ribosomal RNA is filed under the name Gemmatimonadota bacterium. Its description in RNAcentral is "Gemmatimonadetes bacterium partial 16S ribosomal RNA". It matches the Rfam family "Bacterial small subunit ribosomal RNA", at positions 355 to 776 of the family's 1533-position model. The record is from RNAcentral. Lineage: Bacteria; Pseudomonadati; Gemmatimonadota.